AGAGGCUAGCAUAAAUAGAUGUAAGACAGGAGGAAGGAUCAUCAAAGAAUUACCUAGCCGUCUUCCCUGUGGGAAGCCGGAACCUGAGUUGGUCUGUUUCCCCACGCCGUGAACACGGCGUCCCGUCGUCCCUCUCGCCCAGUCCCUUGCCAACCACCAGCAGUACAUCGGUAUAGCUUGAGGAAGAUCCCCGGUAGGAAUAGAAAUCCUAUCAACCUGGUAUCAACUAUGUCCAGCGAUCCUCCAUUCACCAGCCACCCACCGCCACCAUCGCCUUCCACUGUUCCAGGCCGCCCACCACCAUCUCUCCACCAGCUUCCACCGCACCUACACCAAUACUCACGCUGGAAUCUGUGGCCACAGCAGUCCACGAUCUGUCCCGGUCAAUGAAACCCAUGCAGGAUUUUCUCCUGAGAUCCAUUGAAAGUCGCCUAGAGGGGGGGUGAAUAGGCAAAUCUGAAAUUUAUAAAGUUUAAGCACAACUACAAGCCGGUGUUAGCGUUAGAAAUAUAAACGAGUCCAAAAGAGAGGGCGAAAAUAAAUCACGAGCAAAUAAGAGCGGAUGACACAGUGAUUUGUUUUACCGAGGUUCGGUUCUUGCAAACCUACUCCCCGUUGAGGUGGUCACAAAGACCGGGUCUCUUUCAACCCUUUCCCUCUCUCAAACGGUCACUUAGACUGAGUGAGCUUCUCUUCUCAAUCAAACGGGACACUAAGUUCCCACAAGGACCACCACACAAUUGGUGUCUCUUGCCUUGAUUACAAUUGAGUUGGAAACAAGAAGGAAGGAAGAAGAAAAGCAAUCCAAGCGCAAGAGCUCAAAUGAACACAAAUGUCUCUCUCUAGUCACUAAUUUGUUUGGAGUGAUUCUGGACUUGGGAGAGGAUUUGAUCUCUUUGAUUGUGUCUUUGAAUGAAGUUUAGAGCUCUUGUAUGAGGUUUGAUGGCUGAAAACUUGGAUGCAUUGAAGUGUGGUGGUUGGGGGGUAUUUAUAGCCACAACCACCAAAAGAACCGUUGGUGAGGGCUGCUGUCGUAUGGCGUACCGGACACUGUCCAGUGCGCCAGCCACGUCACCAUGCCGUUGGGUUCUGACCGUUGGAGCUUCUGACAACUGGGCCACCGGACAGUCCGGUGGUGCACCGGACAGUCACUGUUCACUGUCCGGUGCGCCUUCUGACGCCUGCUCUGACUUCUGCGCGCGCAGUGAACACUGUUCACUGUUCCUAUACCGUUGCAGACGACCAUUGGCGCCUGGAGCCGUUGCUCCGCUUGGUACACCGGAUAGUCCGGUGCUACACCGGACAGUCCGGUGAAUUAUAGCGGAGCGGUCUCCCGAAUUCCCGAAGGUGGCAAGUUCGGAGUGGAACUCCCUGGUGCACCGGACACUAUCCGGUGGCACACCGGACAGUCCGGUGCGCCAGACCAGGGCUGCCUUUGGGUUGUCUUUUGCUCUCUUUAUUUGAACCCUUUCUUGGUCUUUUUAUUGGUUUGUUGUGAACCUUUGACACAUGUAAAACUUAUAAUCUAGAGCAAACUAGUUAGUCCAAUUGUUUGUGUUAGGCAAUUCAACCACCAAAAUCAAUUAGGAAAAGGUGUAAGCCUAUUUCCCUUUCAAUCUCCCCCUUUUUGGUGAUUGAUGCCAACACAAACCAAAGCAAAUAUAUAAGUGCAGAAUUGAACUAGUUUGCAUAAUGUAAGUGCAAAGGUUACUUGAAGUUAAACCAAUAUACAUUUCAUAAGAUAUGCAUGGAUGCUUCCUUCUUAUUUAAAAUUUUGGACCACGCUUGCACCACUUGUUUUGUUUUGCAAAGUUUUGGAAAUUCUUUUUCAAAAUCUUUUGCAAAUAGUCAAAGGUAAAUUGAAUAAGAUUUUGAGAAGCAUUUUCAAGAUUUGAACUCCCCCCUGUUUCAAAUGCUUUUCCUUUGACUAAACAAAACUCUCUCUCAAUGAAAUUCUCCUCUUAGUGUUCAAGAGGGUUUUAGAUAUUAAUUUUGGAGAGGGUAUACCAAUUUGAAAUUAUAUCACAAUUUGAAAAGUCUUUUAAAAAAACACUUCUUUAAUACAAAUUGAAAGACUACAAAUUUUUUAAAUUGGUGGUGGUGCGGUCCUUUUGCUUUGGGCUAAUACUUUCUCCCCCUUUGGCAUGAAUCGCCAAAAAUGGAUACUUGUGAGUGAAAUAUAAGCCCUUGGUCUUUCUUUCCCUUUGGUAAAUAAAAUAAGAGUGAAGAUUAUACCACAUUGGAGAGCGAUGCGGAGUGUCGGCGAAGGAUGAAUAAUUCAAUGGAGUGGAGUGGAAGCCUUGUCUUCGCCGAGGACUCCAUUUCCCUUUCAAUCUAUGACUUAGCAUGUAAUUCACUUGAAAACCACAUUAGUCAUAGCACAUGAAAGAGAGAUGAUCAAAGGUAUAGAAAUGAGCUAUGUGUGUAAAAUCUUAAUCAAAAUUCCUAGAAUCAAGAAUAUUUAGCUCAUGCCUAAGUUUGGUAAAUGUUUUCUCAUCUAAUGGCUUGGUAAAGAUAUCGACUAAUUGUUCUUUGGUGUUAAUAUAAGCAAUCUCGAUAUCCCCCCUUUGUUGGUGAUCCCUAAAAAAGUGAUACCGAAUGGCUAUGUGCUUAGUGCGGCUGUGUUCAACGGGAUUAUCCGCCAUGCGGAUUGCACUCUCAUUAUCACAUAGGAGAGGGACUUUAGUUAAUUUGUAACCAUAGUCCCUAAGGGUUUGCCUCAUCUAAAGCAAUUGCGCAACAAUGGCCUGCAUCAAUGUACUCGACUUCGACGGUAGAAAGAGCUAUAGAAUUUUGCUUCUUUGAAGCACAAGACACCAGAGAUCUUCCCAAGAACUGGCAAGUCCCUGAUGUGCUCUUUUUAUCAAUUUUACACCCUACCCAAUCAGCACCUGAAUAUCCAAUUAAAUCAAAAGUGGAACCCCUGGGGUACCAAAGGCCAAACUUAGGAGUAUAAACUAAAUAUCUCAAGAUUCGUUUCACGGCCCCAAGGUGAACUUCCUUAGAAUCGGCUUGGAAUCUUGCACACAUGCAUACGGAAAGCAUAAUAUCCGGUCGAGAUGCACAUAAAUAGAGUAAAGAUCCUAUCAUCGACCAGUAUACCUUUUGAUCUACGAAUUUACCUCCCGUGUCGAGGUCGAGAUGCCCAUUAGUUCCCAUGGGUGUCUUGAUGGGCUUGGCAUCCUUCAUUCCAAACUUGGUAAGAAUGUCUUGAAUGUACUUCGUUUGGCUAAUGAAGGUGCCCUCUUGGAGUUGUUUGACUUGAAAUCCUAGAAAAUACUUCAACUCCCCCAUCAUAGACAUCUCGAAUUUUUGAAUCAUGAUCCUACUAAACUCUUCAUAAGUAGAUUGACCCAAAUAUGAUAUCAUCAACAUAAAUUUGGCAUACAAACAAAUCAUUUGCAAUUGUUUUAGUAAAGAGAGUAGGAUCGGCUUUUCCGACUUUGAAGUCAUUAGAAAUAAGAAAAUCUCUUAGGCAUUCAUACCAUGCUCUUGGGGCUUGCUUGAGCCCAUAAAGCGCCUUAGAGAGUUUAUAUACAUGGUUAGGGUACUCACUAUCUUCAAAGCCGGGAGGUUGCUCUACAUAGACCUCCUCCUUGAUUGAUCCAUUGAGGAAGGCACUUUUCACGUCUAUUUGGUAAAGCUUAAAGCCAUGGUAAGUAGCAUAGGCAAGUAAUAUACGAAUUGACUCAAGCCUAGCUACGGUGUAACACCACAAAAGCCAUCAAUUAAAAAUGAAUUUCGGAAUUUAAAAAAAAAGAAAAAAAAAUUACCAAAAAUAUUUAUAAAUGAAGUACUUAUUUUUAGACUAAUAAUUACUAUAAUACUUAAUUAUUAUUUAAUUACUAGUACUUCUUUUUAAAAUGGAUUGAUAUUUAAACAUCCGAUAAGAAAUCACGUGCAUGCAAAGAAAAACGAUGCAAAUAAAUAGUUAAACACUAAGAAAAAUUUAUUACCCUAAUUAAUAUAAUGUCUAAAUUUAUUAUUUUAAUUGAUGGCUUUUAUGGUGUUACAAACCUACCCCUCUUAAAAAGAAUCUCGUCCUCGAGAUUAAGAAACUUCCGAGAAUAACUGGGGAAAUUCUGCUCUGAGUUCAUCUUCUCUUUCCCAAGUAGCCUCAUCUUCCGAAUGAUGACUCCACUGAACUUUGCACAUGUUAAUGACUUUACUCCGUGUAAUUCUGCGAGAUGUUUCCAAAAUUCUGACCGGGUACUCUGAAUAGGUCAAAUCCUCAUUGACAUUCAGUUCUUCCAUGGGUAGCUGUUCCUCUGGUACUCUCAAGCACUUCUUGAGUUGUGAUACGUGAAAUACGUCAUGCACAUCUGAUAAUCUAUCGGGUAGCUCUAACUGAUAGGCUACUUCGCCUUUUCUUUCCAAAAUCUUGAAUGGGCCAAUAUAGCGAGGUGAUAAUUUUCCUUUAACCUUAAACCUUUUCAUUCCUCUCAUCGGUGAAACUUUAAGGUAGACAAAGUCUCCUACUUCAAACAUCAACUCCCUUCUUCUAUUAUCAGCAUAGCUCUUCUGUCUUGACUGUGCUGUCUUCAAAUUUUCUCUAAUAAUCUGUACUUGUUUUUCGGCUUCUUGGAGUAUUUCUGGACCAAAUACUUGACUUUCUCCGGUCUGAUUCCAAUAAAGCGGUGUUCUACACUUUCGUCCAUAUAGUGCUUCAAACGGUGCCAUUUUGAGGCUGGCUUGAUAACUGUUGUUAUACGAAAAUUCUGCAUAAGGCAAACUUUUAUCCCAGCUUCUACCAUGCUUUAGAGCGCAAGCUCUUAGCAUAUCUUCCAAGACUUGGUUUGUUCUUUCCGUUUGCCCAUCCGUUUGCGGAUGAUAAGCUGAACUAAAAUUUAGCCUGGUAUCCAUGGACUCAUGAAGUCUUUUCCAAAAGCGCGAGGUAAACUGGGUUCCUCGAUCUGAUACGAUCUUCUUCGGUACUCCAUGCAGACAAACAAUCCUCGACAUGUAUAAAUCUGCUAACUGGGCUCCCGAGUAAGUUGUCUUUACAGGUAUAAAGUGUGCCACUUUAGUUAACCUGUCCACUAUGACCCAUAUUGAAUCAUAGCCAUCUCGAGUACGGGGUAGUCCAACUAUGAAAUCCAUACUGAUUUCUUCCCAUUUCCAUUCCGGUACCUUGAGAGGUUGUAGCAAUCCUGCUGGUCUUUGGUGUUCAGCUUUAACUCGCUGACACACGUCACAUAAUGCAACAUGAGUAGCAACAUCUCUUUUCAAUCCGUACCACCAAUACUUUUCCUUAAGGUCCUGGUACAUCUUGGUACUUCCAGGGUGAAUAGAGUAAGCUGAAUCAUGAGCUUCUCUCAAAAUAAGUUGGCGUAAGUGUUCGAUUUCUGGUACACAGAUUCUCUUCUUAAACCAUAAUGUGCCUUGUUCAUCUUCCGUGAAAUUUGGGGCUUUACCCAUACUAAUCAAAGUUUUAAUUUCCUUAAUCUUCUCAUCGGACUCUUGUCCUUUACGAAUCUCUUCUUCCAAAGUAGAUUCAACUUCCAUCACCGUUGCUUCUACAUUAUUGAGAAAUCCAAGGUUGAGUCGUUCCAUUUCCCAGCACAAUUCUUGUGACCUCAAAUGAGUAGUGAUGUUGUUCACUUGACCCUUACGGCUCAAAGCAUCAGCUACUACAUUUGCCUUUCCGGGGUGAUAUUGUAUUUCCAAAUCAUAAUCUUUAAUCAACUCAAGCCAUCUUCUCUGUCUGAGGUUGAGUUCUUUCUGAGUGAAUAUAUAUUUCAAGCUUUUAUGAUCCGUGAAGAUUUUGCACUUGUUUCCAAUCAUAUAGUGCCUCCAAAUCUUCAAAGCAUGCACUACGGCAGCUAGUUCCAAAUCAUGCGUAGGAUAAUUCUUCUCAUGUUUCCUUAACUGUCUUGAGGCAUAAGCAAUCACCUUUCCUUCUUGCAUUAGCACACAUCCGAGUCCAAGGUGUGAUGCAUCGCAAUACACAUCAAAUCCCUUGUGGAUGUCUGGCAUUACCAGUAUUGGUGCAGUGGUUAACCUCUUCUUGAGUUCUUCAAAACAAUUCUGGCAAGCUUCAUCCCAUUUGAACUCUUUGCCUUUCUCCAGUAGAGAGGUAAGUGGUUUCACCAACUUGGAAAAACCUUCAAUAAAUCUUCUAUAGUAUCCUGCCAAUCCAAGAAAAUUUCUGAUCUUGGACGCAUCCUUUGGUUGCUUCCAAUUUAGUAUCUCACUUAUCUUUCCUGGGUCCACUUUAAUUCCACCAUCGGUAACGAUAUGCCCUAAGAAAGCAACUUCCUUCAACCAAAAAUCACACUUAGAGAACUUUGCGUACAGUUGGUUGUCACGAAGUUUUUGUAGGACUAGCCUUAGAUGAUCUUCGUGUGUUUCUUCAUUCGGAGAAUAUAUCAGUAUGUCGUCAAUGAAUACGACCACAAACUGAUCCAGAUAUUCCAUGAAUACUUUAUUCAUCAAGUUCAUGAAGUAUGCUGGUGCAUUAGUCAGUCCAAACGACAUGACCAAAAACUCAUAUAAUCCAUAUCUCGUCGUGAAGGCUGUCUUCGGUACAUCUUCUGCUCGAAUCUUUAACUGAUGAUAUCCCGAUCUCAGAUCUAUCUUCGAGAAUAUCUUAGCUCCCUUCAUUUGAUCGAAUAAAUCUUCAAUUCGAGGUAACGGGUAUUUAUUCUUGAUGGUUACUUCAUUCAAACUUCUAUAAUCAACACACAUUCUCCUCGAACCAUCUUUCUUGUUCACAAAUAGCACUGGGGCUCCCCAAGGGGAUGAACUUGGGCGAAUGAAACCUUUUUCUAGUAAUUCUUAUAUUUGUUUCUUCAAUUCUACUAAAUCUUUAACAUCCAUUCUAUAUGGUCUUUUCGAGAUAGGUGCGGUUCCGGGUACUAGUUCAAUAGAAAACUCUAUAUCACGGUCAGGUGGCAUACCUGGCAAUUCCUCCGGAAAUACGUCUGGGUAUUCGCACACUACUUUGAUAUUUUCCAAGGGCUUUUCUUCCAAGUGAUUGAUCAUUGUCUUCCCUUUUUCAUCUGUUGACUUGUCUAUGUUAACUUGGAUUCUUUCACCUUGAGGACUUGUCAACAUAAUUGUUCCGCUGACACACUGUAUCACUCCAUCACAACUUUUCAACCAGUUGCAUCCAAGAAUCACAUCAAUACCGUUGGAUCCUAGGACCACUGGGUCGACUGUAAAAUCUAUUCCUUGAAUCUUGAUAUUAACAUGAGGGCAUGAGUGUGUGGCCUUCAUGUCACCUCCCGGUGAACUAAUGUGUAAUAUCCUCUUCAGUGGGUACUUAGGUAUGUUAUGUUUUUCCACGAAUGACUCAGUUAUAAAUGACUCAGUGGGAACUAAUGUGUAAUAUCCUCUUCAAAUGAAUGCGAUGCUGCAGAACACGAGGUUCAGGCACCCACUGAAGAGGAUCGCAUUCAUUUAUAACUGAGUCAUUCGUGGAAAAACAUAACAUACCUAAGUACCCACUGAAGAGGAUAUUACACAUUAGUUCACCGGGAGGUGACAUGAAGGCCACACACUCAUGCCCUCAUGUUAAUAUCAAGAUUCAAGGAAUAGAUUUUACAGUCGACCCAGUGGUCCUAGGAUCCAACGGUAUUGAUGUGAUUCUUGGAUGCAACUGGUUGAAAAGUUGUGAUGGAGUGAUACAGUGUGCCAGCGGAACAAUUAUGUUGACAAGUCCUCAAGGUGAAAGAAUCCAAGUUAACAUAGACAAGUCAACAGAUGAAAAAGGGAAGACAAUGAUCAAUCACUUGGAAGAAAAGCCCUUGGAAAAUAUCAAAGUAGUGUGCGAAUACCCAGACGUAUUUCCGGAGGAAUUGCCAGGUAUGCCACCUGACCGUGAUAUAGAGUUUUCUAUUGAACUAGUACCCGGAACCGCACCUAUCUCGAAAAGACCAUAUAGAAUGGAUGUUAAAGAUUUAGUAGAAUUGAAGAAACAAAUAGAAGAAUUACUAGAAAAAGGUUUCAUUCGCCCAAGUUCAUCCCCUUGGGGAGCCCCAGUGCUAUUUGUGAACAAGAAAGAUGGUUCGAGGAGAAUGUGUGUUGAUUAUAGAAGUUUGAAUGAAGUAACCAUCAAGAAUAAAUACACGUUACCUCGAAUUGAAGAUUUAUUCGAUCAAAUGAAGGGAGCUAAGAUAUUCUCGAAGAUAGAUCUGAGAUCGGGAUAUCAUCAGUUAAAGAUUCGAGCAGAAGAUGUACCGAAGACAGCCUUCACGACGAGAUAUGGAUUAUAUGAGUUUUUGGUCAUGUCGUUUGGACUGACUAAUGCACCAGCAUACUUCAUGAACUUGAUGAAUAAAGUAUUCAUGGAAUAUCUAGAUCAGUUUGUGGUCGUAUUCAUUGACGACAUACUGAUAUAUUCUCCGAAUGAAGAAACACACGAAGAUCAUCUAAGGCUAGUCCUACAAAAACUUCGUGACAACCAACUGUACGCAAAGUUCUCUAAGUGUGAUUUUUGGUUGAAGGAAGUUGCUUUCUUAGGGCAUAUCGUUACCGAUGGUGGAAUUAAAGUGGACCCAGGAAAGAUAAGUGAGAUACUAAAUUGGAAGCAACCAAAGGAUGCGUCCAAGAUCAGAAGUUUUCUUGGAUUGGCAGGAUACUAUAGAAGAUUUAUUGAAGGUUUUUCCAAGUUAGUGAAACCACUUACCUCUCUACUGGAGAAAGGCAAAGAGUUCAAAUGGGAUGAAGCUUGCCAGAAUUGUUUUGAAGAACUCAAGAAGAGGUUAACCACUGCACCAAUACUGGUAAUGCCAGACAUCCACAAGGGAUUUGAUGUGUUUUGCGAUGCAUCACACCUUGGACUCGGAUGUGUGCUAAUGCAAGAAGGAAAGGUGAUUGCUUAUGCCUCAAGACAGUUAAGGAAACAUGAGAAGAAUUAUCCUACGCAUGAUUUGGAACUAGCUACCGUAGUGCAUGCUUUGAAGAUUUGGAGGCACUAUAUGAUUGGAAACAAGUGCAAAAUCUUCACGGAUCAUAAAAGCUUGAAAUAUAUAUUCACUCAGAAAGAACUCAACCUCAGACAGAGAAGAUGGCUUGAGUUGAUUAAAGAUUAUGAUUUGGAAAUACAAUAUCACCCCGGAAAGGCAAAUGUAGUAGCUGAUGCUUUGAGCCGUAAGGGUCAAGUGAACAACAUCACUACUCAUUUGAGGUCACAAGAAUUGUGCUGGGAAAUGGAACGACUCAACCUUGGAUUUCUCAAUAAUGUAGAAGCAACGGUGAUGGAAGUUGAAUCUACUUUGGAAGAAGAGAUUCGUAAAGGACAAGAGUCCGAUGAGAAGAUUAAGGAAAUUAAAACUUUGAUUAGUAUGGGUAAAGCCCCAAAUUUCACGGAAGAUGAACAAGGCACAAUAUGGUUUAAGAAGAGAAUCUGUGUACCAGAAAUCGAACACUUACGCCAACUUAUUUUGAGAGAAGCUCAUGAUUCAGCUUACUCUAUUCACCCUGGAAGUACCAAGAUGUACCAGGACCUUAAGGAAAAGUAUUGGUGGUACGGAUUGAAAAGAGAUGUUGCUACUCAUGUUGCAUUAUGUGACGUGUGUCAGCGAGUUAAAGCUGAACACCAAAGACCAGCAGGAUUGCUACAACCUCUCAAGGUACCGGAAUGGAAAUGGGAAGAAAUCAGUAUGGAUUUCAUAGUUGGACUACCCCGUACUCGAGAUGGCUAUGAUUCAAUAUGGGUCAUAGUGGACAGGUUAACUAAAGUGGCACACUUUAUACCUGUAAAGACAACUUACUCGGGAGCCCAGUUAGCAGAUUUAUACAUGUCGAGGAUUGUUUGUCUGCAUGGAGUACCGAAGAAGAUCGUAUCAGAUCGAGGAACCCAGUUUACCUCGCGCUUUUGGAAAAGACUUCAUGAGUCCAUGGAUACCAGGCUAAAUUUUAGUUCAGCUUAUCAUCCGCAAACGGAUGGGCAAACGGAAAGAACAAACCAAGUCUUGGAAGAUAUGCUAAGAGCUUGCGCUCUAAAGCAUGGUAGAAGCUGGGAUAAAAGUUUGCCUUAUGCAGAAUUUUCGUAUAACAACAGUUAUCAAGCCAGCCUCAAAAUGGCACCGUUUGAAGCACUAUAUGGACGAAAGUGUAGAACGCCGCUUUAUUGGAAUCAGACCGGAGAAAGUCAAGUAUUUGGUCCAGAAAUACUCCAAGAAGCCGAAAAACAAGUACAGAUUAUUAGAGAAAAUUUGAAGACAGCACAGUCAAGACAGAAGAGCUAUGCUGAUAAUAGAAGAAGAGAGUUGAUGUUUGAAGUAGGAGACUUUGCCUACCUUAAAGUUUCACCGAUGAGAGGAAUGAAAAGGUUUAAGGUUAAAGGAAAAUUAUCACCUCGCUAUAUUGGCCCAUUCAAGAUUUUGGAAAGAAAAGGCGAAGUAGCCUAUCAGUUAGAGCUACCCGAUAGAUUAUCAGAUGUGCAUGACGUAUUUCACGUAUCACAACUCAAGAAGUGCUUGAGAGUACCAGAGGAACAGCUACCCAUGGAAGAACUGAAUGUCAAUGAGGAUUUGACCUAUUCAGAGUACCCGGUCAGAAUUUUGGAAACAUCUCGCAGAAUUACACGGAGUAAAGUCAUUAACAUGUGCAAAGUUCAGUGGAGUCAUCAUUCGGAAGAUGAGGCUACUUGGGAAAGAGAAGAUGAACUCAGAGCAGAAUUUCCCCAGUUAUUCUCGGAAGUUUCUUAAUCUCGAGGACGAGAUUCUUUUUAAGAGGGGUAGGUUUGUAACACCAUAAAAGCCAUCAAUUAAAAUAAUAAAUUUAGACAUUAUAUUAAUUAGGGUAAUAAAUUUUUCUUAGUGUUUAACUAUUUAUUUGCAUCGUUUUUCUUUGCAUGCACGUGAUUUCUUAUCGGAUGUUUAAAUAUCAAUCCAUUUUAAAAAGAAGUACUAGUAAUUAAAUAAUAAUUAAGUAUUAUAGUAAUUAUUAGUCUAAAAAUAAGUACUUCAUUUAUAAAUAUUUUUGGUAAUUUUUUUUUUGAUUUUUAGAGUUCUUUAAAAAUGAAUUUCGGAAUUUAAAAAAAAACCAAAUCCUACACUAACCGGCCCACUAGGGGCCCAUGCCCCAAACCCUAGCGAGCACCGCACGCCGCGCGCACGCUGGCAAAGGCCAGGCAGCCGCCGCCGCCUCCCAGCUCUCCCUCUCUCUAUUCUCUCUCUCUCUCCUCUCAUCUCCCUCAUCUCUCUGCUCUUUCUCUCACACGCGCACGCACAGGAUCGAGCCCCAGCCGCCACCCGCGCGCGAGCAGCCCGGCCGCCGAGCCGCGGCACCGCGCAAGCCCGCUCUGCGCGCCGUGCGCACUCCCUGGCCAAGCCGCGCGAGCCGCGCCAGCCCUGCGCAAGCAGCGCGCUGCCGCGCCAGCCGCCGCGCCUGCGCGCGAGCCCAGGCGACCGAGCACCACCGCGCCGAGCGCACCCCGUCGCACGACCCCGAAGCCCAACGUCCAUCGCGCCAUGAAUGUCCCGCGUCCGUUACUCCCUAUUACUCUCUCCCUCCCUCCAUUGACGUCGUGGAAGAAACGGACCAUCAAUGGCGCCAUGAAGACCGACGGCGCCCCAUUGAAGAGACCGGUCGUCCCUCUCUCCCCUGGCCGACCCUUCAUCUACUUCCCUCUCUCUAUAAAAGGCAGCAGAGCCUCUCUCUCCCAUCCUCCCAACCCAAGCUCAUCCCAUCUCUCUAGCUCGCCAGUGCACUGUUCGACGCCGUCGUUAGUCGCCGUUCGUCGCCGGAGUUCGCCGCUCGUUGCCGGAGUCCGUGGAGUUCGCCGGAGUGUGCCGUCGUCGCCGGAGUUCACCGGAGCCACGCACUCGCUGUUCGUAGUCGAGCCCCGCACUCCGUCCGGCCGAAACCCGUCGAUCCGUCCCCGUCACACGCACGAACCCGAGGUUGUUGGCGACCCAGAUUUAUUUUAUGUAUUUUAUAAAGUGCUUUUGAUUCGAUUCAUGUGUUGUAUAGUUUGUUUGUUGUAAUAUGAACACAUGUGAUUCCGAUUUAUGUAUUUGUGUGCGCUAUGGAAUUUGUUAGAAAUAUGCGAUUAGUAGUGCACCGUGUUAUUUCAUGUUAAUCGACGCGUUGAAUUUUGGAUUAGGAAUAUGACAACAUUUAGUAGUCACACGUUGGCGAUAAAAAUGCUAGAUAGGAAUUUUUGUAGUUAAAUUUGGUCACAAUAAAUUUUAGAAACUACUUGGAGAAUUAUAGGUGCAUUUUUGAUGGAUUAGAAAAUGGUAUGGAACUCAUGUCAUUUGAUUAAUAUAGGAUUUUAGAUGAUUUAUCUAAUUAUUUUAUUGGCAUAUUUUUUUAUAAAGAAAGGAGAAAAUAUCAUUGGUAGAUGGCAAAAUAGGUUUUUGCUAGUCAAAUAAACAUGUUCACAGAUUUAGAACUUAAAAUUGUUAGAGUACUAGUUUAUGUCAAAUAACCUCGCUUGUGUUAGAAAAUGUUCAAUUAGUAGUUUAUGUAGAUUUUUAGAAUAUUAAUUCUUGCUAUACUAACUAAUUUGAGUUAGAAUGAAUAAAAGGUAUUAAUUUAUUUAUUAGUAUUAAAAGUUAAUAAGUAUUAUUUAAUUUCAUUGAUGGUGUUAAAAUAAAUUAAUAUUAGUUAAAAUUAUAUUUAUUGCACCCACUCAUAAAUUCACCAUUAGGAUUCGCAUUAAUAGCUAUAAUUAAAUUAAUAAGUAUUUACGUGAUUAGUACGUAAUUAAAAUAUGAUUAGUGCGACGUGUUAAAGUGACGUAUUGGUGUAUGUUUAUGAAUGGUGCAUGUUUAUUUAUUGGUGUAUGUUUUAUUUUUGUAUGUGCGCUAUGCGACCCUAUUAGAAGCGGAUUGUGCGGUAGGAGAACCAAUUUCGUUCGAGGACGAUCCGCAGGACUCGCUUGAGCAAGGCAAGUGGAUUCUCCCUCUGCAUAUUCUGUUUGUACCUAUUCAUUGCAUACAAUAAUGUUUACUUUUUGAUAUACUGCAUAAUUUGUUGGGUUAUACCUAAUUAAGGAUUUCCUAGAUUUACUACCUGUAUUCCUUGUUUAACCUGGGGAAAUAAUUAAGCUGUGCAAGAUUUAUGCUACCGCUCAACUUAAUGGUUCCUAAUGUCACUCAUUAAUUGGUUUUAAUGUUCCAAAAAUGUUAAUUUGCAAUUAUGACAUUAACCCGAUGGUUAAAGAUAACUUUAUUACAAGUUAAUUGGAACAUGGAGUGACCACCCAGGAUAACAGUGCAACCACGAGUGCUAUCAUGACUCUGGCUUUGGUAAAUAGCUCUAUAUGCUUAGUGCCUAGCAACCUUACCUGAACGAUGGGCAAGAGGGGGAGCGGUAGGUGCUGGCAGCCCACGUUAACAUGGGGUCGUAUUCUUGGCUAAGGUACUUCACCCAGGGGGCCACCACCAUCGUCUUAGAAACCUUAGCGAGUUGCUUUGUAUUAAGUGUGUUUUGUGAAAACCUCAUAAUGGAUCUCUAGCCAUUCACCUCGGCAGUGUCUAAGGGUCCGAUCAACCCGGGCUAGAUGGGAUACAUGACUUGUGGGUAAAGUUGUACCACCUCUGCAGAGUGUAAAACUGAUAUAUCAGCCGUGCUCCCGGUUAUGAGCGACCUGGACUCCUCACAUGAUAAUUGAACUUGAAGAUGGAAUUAAAUUGAGAUCCGAUGAUCUGCCAAUAAUUUGCUUAAGUGGUUUCACUUAAGUGUUUUUGUUAUAUUCAUGUUCUUUUGUUUUAAUGGGAUAUAUGGGAUUCACACUUAUUAGUAAGACAGGUGAUGUUAAUAAAAUGUUGACCAACUAAAAUGCUUACUGCUCAAACUUAGCCUCACCUUGUUUUACCUGCAUUAGUUUUUCCCCCACUUGCUGAGCCCCGACCAUAAGUGAGCUCACCCUUGCUAAUAUUUUGAUCAGAGGGUGAUGCUGGAGACUUUGAUGGAGAUUUUAUCGACGACGAUGAUUUCUAAGUCUAACGAUGCGCCGGUCAUCUUCCUGUGGGAGAUUGCCCAGUUGUGUAUUUCCGCUUUACUUUGAUGUGAUACUUGUUAAAGAUACAAUGUUUCAGAUGAUGUAAUAAAGUAUUAUACUCUCUUUACGCCUUUAUUGCAUUGUCUUUUGAUAUAUUACACUUGUGACGUCAACAUAUGUGUGGAAAUGGAUCCUGGCACACAUAUGGUAUGCGCUCGGUUCUACCCCCUGGAACCGGGUGUGACAUACGGGUGCAUAGGUUUCACCGAAAUCCAAACCUUCGACUUGUGAAUAUCCCUUGGCCACAAGUCGGGCUUUGUUCCUUGUCACCACACCAUGCUCAUCUUGCUUGUUGUGGAAGACCCACUUGGUUCCUACAACAUUUUGAUUAGGACGUGGAACUAAAUGACAUACCUCAUUCCUCGUGAAGUUGUUGAGUUCCUCUUGCAUUGCCAACACCCAAUCCGAAUCCCUCAAUGUGUCUUCUACCCUGUAUGGCUCAAUAGAAGACACAAAGGAGUAAUGUUCACAAAAAUGAGCAACACGAGAUCGAGUGGUUACCCCCUUAUGAAUGUCGCCGAGGAUGGAGUUCACGGGGUGAUCUCAUUGUAUUGCUUGGUGGACUCUUGGGUGAGUCGGUCUUGGACCAUCAUCAUCUUCCUUGUCUUGAUCAUUAGCAUCUCCCCCUUGAUCAUUGUCCUCCUCUUGAGGUGGCUCCUCUUGAUCUUCAUUUUCAUCAUCUUGAGCUUGAUCCUCAUCUUGAGUUGGUGGAGAUGCUUGCAUGGAGGAAGAUGGUUGAUCUUGUGCUUGUGGAGGCUCUUCGGAUUCCUUAGGACAUACAUCCCCAAUGGACAUGUUCCUUAGCGCGACGCAUGGAGCCUCUUCAUCAUCUAGCUCAUCAAGAUCAACUUGCUCUACUUGAGAGCCGUUAGUCUCAUCAAACACAAUGUCACAAGAAACUUCAACUAGUCCAGUGGACUUGUUAAAGACUCUAUAUGCCCUUGUGUUUGAAUCAUAUCCUAGUAAAAAGCCUUCUACAGCCUUAGGAGCAAAUUUAGAUUUUCUACCUCUUUUAACAAGAAUAAAGCAUUUGCUACCAAAGACUCUAAAAUAUGAAACAUUGGGCUUUUUACCGGUUAGGAGUUCAUAUGAUGUCUUCUUGAGAAUUCGGUGAAGGUAGAGACGGUUGAUGGCGUAGCAAGCGGUGUUGAUUGCUUCCGCCCAAAACCGGUCUGAAGUUUUGUAUUCAUCAAGCAUGGUCCUCGCUAUGUCAAGUAGAGUUCUAUUCUUCCUCUCCACUACACCAUUUUGUUGUGGCGUGUAAGGAGAAGAGAACUCAUGCUUGAUGCCCUCAUCCUCAAGGAAGCCUUCUAUUUGUGAGUUCUUGAACUUCGUCCCGUUGUCGCUUCUAAUCUUUUUGAUCCUUAAGCCGAACUCAUCUUGAGCCCGUCUCAAGAAUCCCUUUAAGGUCUCUUCGGUUUGAGCUUUAUCCUGCAAAAAGAACACCCAAGUGAAGCGAGAAUAAUCAUCCACAAUAACUAGACAGUACUUACUCCCGCCGAUGCUUAUGUAAGCUAUCGGGCCGAAUAGGUCCAUGUGGAGUAGCUCAAGCGGCCUAUCGGUCGUCAUGAUGUUCUUGUGUGGAUGAUGAACACCAACUUGCUUUCCUGCUUGAUAUGCGCUACAAACCCUGUCUUUCUCAAAAUGAACAUUGGUUAGUCCUAAAAUGUGCUCUCCCUUUAGAAGCUUAUGAAGAUUCUUCAUCCCAACAUGGGCUAGAAGACGGUGCCAGAGCCAACCCAAGUUAGACUUAGCAAUUAAGCAAGUGUCAAGUUCAGCUCUAUUAAAAUCAACUAAGUAUAGCUGACCCUCUAACACUCCCUUAAAUGCUACUGAAUCAUCACUUCUUCUAAAGACAGUAACACCUAUAUCCGUAAAAAGACAGUUGUAGCCCAUUUUACAUAAUUGAGAAACGGAAAGCAAAUUGUAAUCUAAAGAAUCUACAAGAAAAACAUUUGAAAUAGAAUGGUCAGGUGAUAUAGCAAUUUUACCAAGUCCUUUGACCAAACCUUGAUUUCCAUCCCCGAAUGUGAUAGCUCUUUGAGGAUCAUGGUUUUUCUCGUAGGAGGAGAACAUUCUUUUCUCCCCAGUCAUGUGGUUUGUGCACCCGCUAUCAAUUAUCCAACUUGAGCCCCCGGAUGCAUAAACCUACAAAACAAGUUUAGGCCUUGUUCUUAGGUACCCAAACGGUCUUGGGUCCUUUGAUAUUAGAAACAAGCACCUUGGGUACCCAAACACAAGUCUUUGACCCCUUGUGUUUGCCCCCAACAUAUUUGACAACUACUUUGCCUGAUUUAUUAGUUAAAACAUAUGAUGCAUCAAAAGUCUUAAAUGAAAUGUUGGGUUCAUUUGAUGCAAUAGGAGUUUUCUUCCUAGACAAUUUAGCAUGGGUUGAUUGCCUAGAACUAGAUGCCUCACUCUUAUACAUAAAAGCAUGAUGAGAGCCAGAGUGAGACUUCCUAGAGUGAAUUCUCCUAAUUUUGUGCUCGGAAUAACCGACAGGGUAUAAAAUGUAACCCUCGUUAUCCUGAGGCAUGGGAGCCUUGCCCUUAACAAAAUUAGAUAAUCUUUUAGGAGGGGCAUUAAGCUUGACAUUGUUUCCCUGUUGGAAGCCGAUGCCAUCCUUAAUGCCAGGGCGUCUCCCACUAUAGAGCAUGCUUCUAGCAAAUUUAAAUUUUUCAUUUUCUAAGUUAUGCUCAUUGAUUUUAGCAGUUAAUGUAGCUAUAUGAUCAUUUUGUUGUUUGAUUAAAGCAAGGUGAUCAUGAAUAGCAUCUACAUUAACAUCUCUACAUCUAGUGCAAAUAGAAACAUGCUCAACGGUAGAUGUAGAGGGUUUGCAAUCUUUUAGUUCAACAAUCUUAGCAUGUAAAAUAGCAUUCUCAUCUCUAAGAUUGGAAAUAUCAUCAUUGCAAACAUUUAAAUCUUUAGCCUUAGCAAUUAAUUUUUCAUUUUCAAUCUUAAGGCUAGAAAGAGAUACAUUCAAUUUGUCAAUCUUAGCAAUUAAACUAGCAUUAUCAUUUCUAAGAUUAACAAUUGAAUCAUCACAAACAUUUGAUUUCUCAACCUUAGCAAUUAAUUUGGCAUUUUCAUUUCUAAGGCUAGAAAUAGUGUCAUGGCAAGUGCUUAGCUCACUAGUUAAUUUUUCACAUUUUUCUACCUCUAGAGCAUAAGUAUUUUUAACCUUAACAUGCCUUUUGUUUUCCUUAAUAAGGAAGUACUCUUGGCUAUCCAAGAGUUCAUCCUUCUCAUGAAUAGCACUAAUCAAUUCAUUCAAUUUCUCUUUUUGUUGCAUGUUAAGAUUGGCAAAAAGAGUAAGCAAGUUAUCCUCAUCAUCACUAGAAUUAUCCUCAUCACUAGAGGUUGCAUACUUAGUGGAGGAUUUUGAUUUUACCUUCUUCUUCUUGUCGUCCUUUGCCAUGAGGCACUUGUGGCCGACGUUGGGGAAAAGAAGACCCUUGGUGACGACGAUGUUUGCGGCGUCCUCGUCGGAGGAGGAGUCAGUGGAGCUCUCGUCGGAGUCCCAUUCCCGGCAAACAUGGGCGUCGCCGCCCUUCUUGUAGUACCUCUUCUUCUCCUUCUUCUUCUUCUUCCCCCUCUUGUCGUCGCCCCUGUCACUAGAAAUAGGACAUUUUGCUAUAAAGUGACCGGGCUUACCACACUUGUAGCAUACCUUCUUGGAACGGGGCUUGUAAUCUCUCCCCUUUCUUUGCUUGAGGAUUUGGCGAAAGCUUUUGAUGAUUAAAGCCAUCUCCUCGUUGUCGAGCUUGGAGGCGUCGAUAGGAAGCCUACUUGGUGUAGACUCUUCCUUCUUCUCCUCCGUCGCUUUGAAGGCGACGGGUUGCACCUCGGGUGUGGAGGUGGCGCCUCGCUCGAUGAUUUGUUUGGAGCCUUUGAUCAUUAGUUCAAAGCUCACAAAAUUUCCUAUCACUUCCUCAGGAGACAUUAGUUUAUAUCUUGGAUCACCAUGAAUUAAUUGAACUUGAGUAGGAUAAAGAAAUACGAGUGAUCUAAGAAUAACCUUGAUCAUUUCAUGGUCAUCCCAUUUGGUGCUCCCGAGGUUGCGCACUUUGUUCACCAAGGUUUUGAGCCGGUUGUACAUCGCUUGUGGCUCCUCCCCUUGGUGAAGCAUGAAUCGACCGAGCUCCCCCUCAAUCGUUUCCCUCUUGGUGAUCUUGGUCACCUCGUCUCCUUCGUGCGCGGUCUUGAGCACGUCCCAAAUCUCCUUUGCACUCUUCAACCCUUGCACCUUAUUAUACUCCUCUCGACUUAGAGAGGCGAGAAGUAUAGUGGUGGCUUGGGAGUUGAAGUGUUGGAUUUGUUCGACCUCCUCCGAAUCAUAAUCCUUGUCCCCCUUCUUCGGUACCUGCGCUCCAUACUCAACAAUAUCCCAUAUACUUUUGUGGAGUGAGGUUAGAUGAUGCCUCAUUUUAUCACUCCACAUUGAAUAAUCUUCACCUUCAAACAUAGGUGGUUUGCCUAAUGGGACGGAAAGUAAUGGAGUGCGUUUUGAAAUGCGAGGAUAGCGAAGGGGCAUCUUACUAUACUUCUUGCUCUCAUGGUGCUUAGAAGUGGCGGAUGCCGAUUCCGAGCCGGAGGUGGAGGGUGACGAAGAGUCGGUCUCGUAGUAGACCACCUUCUUCAUUUUGUUCUUCUUGUCACCCUUCUGUUGGGACUUGAUGGAGGAAGAGGAUUCCUCCUUGUGCUUGUGGGCGAACUCCUUUGAGUGCGUUCUCCCCGAGCUUGUGGACUUGUCGCCGGUCCCGAUGUCCCUCAUGGCGGAUGCUCCCGACAUCACUUCGAGCGGUUAGGCUCUAAUGAAGUAUCGGUUUUGAUACCAAUUGAAAGUCGCCUAGAGGGGGGGUGAAUAGGCAAAUCUGAAAUUUAUAAAGUUUAAGCACAACUAUAAGCUGGGGUUAGCGUUAGAAAUAUAAACGAGUCCAAAAGAGAGGGCGAAAACAAAUCAUGAGCAAAUAAGAGCGGAUGACAUGGUGAUUUGUUUUACCAAGGUUCGGUUCUUGCAAACCUACUCCCCGUUGAGGUGGUCACAAAGACCGGGUCUCUUUCAACCCUUUCCCUCUCUCAAACGGUCACUUAGACCGAGUGAGCUUCUCUUCUCAAUUAAACGGGACACUAAGUUCCCACAAGGACCACCACACAAUUGGUGUCUCUUGCCUUGAUUACAAUUGAGUUGGAAACAAGAAAGAAGGAAGAAGAAAAGCAAUCCAAGGGCAAUAGCUCAAAUGAACACAAAUGUCUCUCUCUCUCUCUCUAGUCACUAAUUUGUUUGGAGUGGUUCCAGACUUGGGAGAGGAUUUGAUCUCUUUGAUUGUGUCUUUGAAUGAAGUCUAGAGCUCUUGUAUGAUGUUUGAUGGCUGAAAACUUGGAUGCAUUGAAGUGUGGUGGUUGGGGGGUAUUUAUAGCCCCAACCACCAAAAGAACCGUUGGUGAGGGCUGCUGUCGUAUGGCGCACCGGACAGUCCGGUGCGCCACCGGACACUGUCAGGUGUGCCAGCCGCGUCACCAGGCCGUUGGGUUCCGACCGUUGGAGCUUCUGACAACUGGGCCACCGGACAGUCCGGUGGUGCACCGGACAGUCACUGUUCACUGUCUGGUGCGCCUUCUGACGCCUGCUCUGACUUCUGCGCGCGCAGUGAACACUGUUCACUGUUCCUGUAUCAUUGCAGACGACCGUUGGCGCUUGGAGCCGUUGCUCCGCUUGGUACACCGGACAGUCCAGUGCUACACCGGACAGUCUAGUGAAUUAUAGCGGAGCGGCCUCCCGAAUUCCCGAAGGUGGCAAGUUCGGAGUGGAACUCCCUGGUGCACCGGACACUGUUCGGUGGUGCACCGGACAGUCCGGUGCGCUAGACCAGGGGCUGCCUUUGGGUUGUCUUUUGCUCUCUUUAUUUGAACCCUUUCUUGGUUUUUUUAUUGGUUUGUUGUGAACCUUUGACACCUGUAAAACUUAUAAUCUAGAGCAAACUAGUUAGUCCAAUUAUUUGUGUUGGGCAAUUCAACCACCAAAAUCAAUUAGGAAAAGGUGUAAGCCUAUUUCCCUUUCAUCCAUGUACUCUCAGCCAGCUCCGUCACUAAACCCUACGCCCACCACAGCCACCACUCUAUGCUCUUCCUCAUACCGGGGCGCCAGCAACACAAGGAGUGCCCAUACAAAUGCUAUCCAUGCCGGUGUCACCAUCACCGAUCCCAUCGUAUGCGAUGGCAUCCAUGGGCACGCCGCAGUACACAAUGACGACGUCCCCGACACCUCUGGGAGCGGCCGGCGUGCCGUUGCCAGCGACGUUUCACCAACCUUACGGCACCGGCGCCAACUUCGGAGGCGUUGACGUCCUUGGACCCUACGGCUCGGUCCAGGGUGGCUGGGGACAAUUUGAGGGGGCCAUUGAAAGGGAAAUAGGCUUACACCUUUUCCUAAUUGAUUUUGGUGGUUGAAUUGCCCAACACAAAUAAUUGGACUAACUAGUUUGCUCUAGAUUAUAAGUUUUACAGGUGCCAAAGGUUCACAACAAACCAAUAAAAAGACCAAUAAAGGGUUCAAACAAAGAGAGCAAAAGACAACCGAAGUGUGCCCUGGUCUGGCGCACCGGACUGUCCGGUGUGCCAUGCGACAGAAGCCCUCACCAACGGUUCUUUUGGUGGUUGGGGCUAUAAAUACCCCCAACCAUGCACCAUUCAUUGCAUCCAAGUUUUCACCCUUCAAACACCUUACAAGAGCUAUAGCAUUCAAUACAAGACACAAUCAAAGAGAUCAAAUCCUCUCCCAAGUCCAAAGAUCAUUUCAAUCAAAUAGUGACUCGUGAGAGAGAGACUUGUGUUCAUUUGAGCUCUUGCGCUUGGAUUGCUUUUCUUCUUCCUUCUUUCUUGUGCUCAACUCAAUUGUAACCAAGGCAAGAGACACCAAUUGUGUGGUGGUCCUUGUGGGGACUUAGUGUCCCGUUUGAUUGAGAAGAAAAGCUCACUCGGUCUAAGUGACCGUUUGAGAGAGGGAAAGGGUUGAAAGAGACCCGGUCUUUAUGACCACCUCAAUGGAGAGUAGGUUUGCAAGAACCGAACCCCGGUAAAACAAAUCACCGUGUCACACUCUUUAUUUGCUUGUGAUUUGUCUUUGCCCUCUCUUUCGGACUCGUUUAUAUUUCUAACGCUAACCCCGACUUGUAGUUGUGCUUAAAGUUUGUAAAUUUCAGAUUCGCCCUAUUCAACCCCUCUCUAAGCGACUUUCAAUUGGUAUCGGAGCCCGGUGCUUCAUUAGAGCCUAACCGCUCGAAGUGAUGUCGGGAGCAUCCGCCAAGAGGGAGAUCGGGACCGGCGACAAGUCCGCAAGCUCGGGGAGAACGCACUCAAGGGAGUCCUCCCACAAGCACAAGGAGGAAUCCUCUUCCUCCAUCAAGUCUCAACGGAAGGGUGACAAGAAGAAGAAGAUGAAGAAGGUGGUCUACUACGAGACCGACUCUUCGUCACCCUCCACCUCCGGCUCAGAAUCGGCAUUCGCCACUUCUAAGCGCCAUGAGCGCAAGAAGUAUAGUAAGAUGCCCCUUUGCUAUCCUCGCAUUUCAAAACGCACUCCAUUACUUUCCGUCCCAUUAGGCAAACCACCUAUGUUUGAUGGUGAAGAUUAUUCUAUGUGGAGUGAUAAAAUGAGGCAUCACCUAACCUCACUCCACAAAAGUAUAUGGGAUAUUGUUGAGUAUGGAGCGCAGGUACCAAAGGAAGGGGACAAGUAUUAUGAUUCGGAGGAGGUCGAACAAUUCCAACACUUCAACUCCCAAGCCACUACUAUACUCCUCGCCUUUCUAAGUCGAGAGGAGUAUAAUAAGGCAAGGGUUGAAGAGCGCAAAGGAGAUUUGGGAUGUGCUCAAGACCGCACACGAAGGAGACGAGGUGACCAAGAUCACCAAGAGGGAGACGAUCGAGGGGGAGCUCGGUCGGUUCAUGCUUCACCAAGGGGAGGAGCCACAAGCAAUGUACAACCGGCUCAAAACCUUGGUGAACCAAGUGCGCAACCUCGGGAGCACCAAAUGGGAUGACCAUGAGAUGGUCAAGGUUAUUCUAAGAUCACUUGUAUUUCUUAAUCCCACUCAAGUUCAAUUAAUUCAUGGUGAUCCUAGAUACAAGUUAAUGUCUCCCGAGGAAGUUAUAGGAAAAUUUGUGAGCUUUGAAUUGAUGAUCAAAGGCUCCAAGAAAAUCAUCGAGCAAGGCUCCUCCUCCACACCCGAUGUGCAACCCGUAGCAUUCAAGGCAACAAAGGAGAAGAAAGAAGACUCUACACCGAGUAGAGUCCCCAUCGACGCCUCCAAGCUCAAAAAUGAGGAGAUGACGCUCAUCAUCAAGAGCUUCCACCAAAUCCUCAAGCAAAGGAGGGGGAAGGACUACAAGCCCCGCUCCAAGAAAGUUUGCUACAAGUGUGGUAAGCCCGGUCAUUUUAUUGCAAAAUGUCCAUUAUCUAUUAAUAGUGACAGGGGCGACGACAAGAAGGGAAAGAGAAGAGAAAAUAAGAGGACUUCCUAAUUAAAGAAAACAAAAAGCAUGUUAAAGUUAAAAAUGAUUAUGCUCUAGAGGUAGAAAAAUGUGAAAAGUUAACUAGUGAGCUAAGCACUGGCCAUGACACUAUCUCAAACCUUAGAAAUGAACAUGCUAGAUUAAUUGCUAAGGUUGAGAGUUCAAAUGUAUGUGAUGAUUCAAUUACCAAUCUUAGAGAUGAUAAUGCUAGUUUAAUUGGUAAGAUUGAUAAAUUAAAUGCCUCUCUUGUUAGCCUUAAGAUUGAGAAUGAAAAAUUGAUUACUAAGGUAAAAAAUUAGAUAUUUGCAAUAUUUCCAUUUCUAAACUUAGAGAUGAAAAAUAAUAUUUUACAUGCUAAGAUUGUUGAGUUAAAAACUUGCAAACCCUCUACAUCUACCGUUGAGCAUGUUACUAUUUGCACUAGAUGUAGAGAUAUUAACAUUGAUGCUAUUCAUGAUCACAUGGCUAUGAUUAAACAACAAAAUGAUCAUAUAGCUAAACUAGAUGCUAAAAUUGCCGAGCAUGACUUAGAAAAUGAAAAAUUUAAAUUUGCUAGAAGCAUGCUCUAUAGUGGGAGACGCCCUGGCAUUAAGGAUGGCAUUGGCUUCCAAUAGGGAGGCAAUGUCAAACUUAAUGCCCCUCCUAAAAGAUUGUCAAACUUUGUUAAGGGCAAGGCUCCCAUGCCUCAGGAUAACGAGGGCUACAUUUUGUACCUUGUCGGUUAUCCCGAGCACAAAAUUAGGAGAAUUCACUCUAGAAAGUCCCACCCUGGCUCUAAUCAUGCUUUUAUGUAUAAGAGUGAGGCAUCUAGUUCUAGGCAAUCAACCCGUGCUAAAUUGCCUAAGAAGAAAACUCCUAUUGCAUCAAAUGAACCUAAUAUUUCAUUUAAGACUUUUGAUGCAUCUUAUGUGCUAACUAACAAAUCAGGCAAAGUAGUUGCCAAAUAUGUUGGGGGCAAACACAAGGGGCCAAAGACUUGUGUUUGGGUACCCAAGGUGCUUGUUUCUAAUGUCAAAGGACCCAAGACCGUUUGGGUACCUAAGAACAAGGCCUAAAAUUGUUUUGUAGGUUUAUGCAUCCGAGGGCUCAAGUUGGAUCAUCGAUAGCGGGUGCACAAACCACAUGACAGGGGAGAAGAAGAUGUUCUCCUCCUAUGAGAAAAACCAAGAUCCCCAAAGAGCGAUCACAUUCGGGGAUGGAAAUCAAGGUUUGGUUAAAGGAUUGGGUAAAAUUGCUAUAUCUCCUGACAUUCUAUUUCCAAUGUUUUUCUUGUAGAUUCUUUAGAUUACAAUUUGCUUUCUGUUUCUCAAUUAUGCAAAAUGGGCUACAACUGUCUUUUUACGGAUAUAGGUGUUACUAUCUUUAGAAGAAGUGAUGAUUCAGUAGCAUUUAAGGGAGUGUUAGAGGGUCAGCUAUACUUAGUAGAUUUUGAUAGAGCUGAACUCGACACUUGCUUAAUUGCUAAGACUAACAUGGGUUGGCUCUGGCACCGCCGACUAGCUCAUGUUGGGAUGAAGAAUCUUCAUAAGCUUCUAAAGGGAGAGCACAAUUUGGGACUAACCAAUGUUCAUUUUGAGAAAGACAGGGUUUGUAGCGCAUGCCAAGCAGGGAAGCAAGUUGGUGUUCAUCAUCCACACAAGAACAUCAUGACGACCGGCAGGCCGCUCGAGCUACUCCACAUGGACCUAUUCGGCUCGAUUGCUUACAUAAGCAUCAACGGGAGUAAGUAUUGUCUUGUAAUUGUGGAUGAUUAUUCUCGCUUCACUUGGGUGUUCUUUUUGCAGGAAAAAUCACAAACCCAAGAGACAUUAAAGGGAUUCUUGAGACGGGCUCAAAAUGAGUUCGGCUUAAGGAUCAAAAAGAUUAGAAGCGACAACGGGACGGAGUUCAAGAACUCAAAAAUCAAAAGCUUUCUUGAGGAGGAGGGUAUCAAGCAUGAGUUCUCUUCUCCCUACACGCCACAACAAAAUGGUGUAGUGGAAAGGAAGAAUAGAACUCUAUUGGACAUGGCAAGAACCAUGCUUGAUGAGUACAAGACUUCGGAUCGGUUUUGGGCCGAGGCUGUUAACACCGCUUGCUACGCCAUCAACCGGUUAUAUCUUCACCGAAUUCUCAAGAAGACAUCGUAUGAACUCCUCACCGGUAAAAAGCCCAAUGUUUCAUAUUUUAGAGUCUUUGGUAGCAAAUGCUUUAUACUUGUUAAAAGAGGUAGAAAAUCUAAAUUUGCUCCUAAGGCUGUAGAAGGAUUUUUACUAGGAUAUGAUUCAAACACAAGGGCAUAUAGAGUCUUUAACAAGUCCACUGGACUAGUUGAAGUUUCUUGUGACAUUGUGUUUGAUGAGACUAACGGCUCUCAAGUAGAACAAGUUGAUCUUGAUGAGCUAGAUGAUGAAGAGGCUCCGUGCGUCGCGCUAAGGAACAUAUCCAUUGGGGAUGUGUGUCCUAAGGAAUCCGAAGAGCCUCCACAACCACAAGAUCAACCAUCUUCCUCAAUGCAAGCAUCUCCACCAACUCAAGAUGAGGAUCAAGCUCAAGAUGAUGAUGAUCAAGAGGAGCUACCUCAAGAGGAGGACAAUGAUCAAGGGGGGAUGCUAAUGAUCAAGACAAGGAAGAUGAUGAAGAUCCAAGACCGCCACACCCAAGAGUCCACCAAGCAAUUCAACGAGAUCACCCCGUGAACACCAUCCUCGGCGACAUUCAUAAGGGGGAACUACUCAAUCUCGUGUUGCUCAUUUUUGUGAACAUUACUCCUUUGUUUCCUCUAUUGAGCCACACAGGAUAGAGGAAGCACUUCAAGAUUCGGAUUGGGUGCUGGCGAUGCAAGAGGAGCUCAACAACUUCACAAGGAAUGAGGUAUGGCAUUUAGUUCCACGUCCUAUCCAAAAUGUUGUAGGAACCAAGUGGGUCUUCCGUAACAAGCAAGAUGAGCAUGGUGUAGUGACAAGGAACAAAGCCCGACUUGUGGCCAAGGGAUAUUCACAAGUCGAAGGUUUGGAUUUCGGUGAAACCUAUGCACCCGUAGCUAGGCUUGAGUCAAUUCGCAUUUUACUUGCCUAUGCUACUUACCAUGGCUUCAAGCUUUAUCAAAUGGAUGUGAAAAGUGCCUUCCUCAACGGACCAAUCAAAGAGGAGGUCUACGUUGAGCAACCUCCCGGCUUUGAAGAUAGUGAGUAUCCUAGUCAUGUCUAUAAACUCUCUAAGGCGCUUUAUGGGCUCAAGCAAGCCCCAAGAGCAUGGUAUGAAUGCCUAAGAGAUUUUCUUAUCGCUAAUGGCUUCAAAGUCGGAAAAGCCGAUCCUACUCUCUUUACUAAAACACUUGCAGAUGAUUUGUUUGUAUGCCAAAUUUAUGUUGAUGAUAUCAUAUUUGGGUCUACUAACGAAUCUACAUGUGAAAAGUUUAGUAGGAUCAUGACUCAAAAAUUCGAGAUGUCUAUGAUGGGGGAGUCGAAGUAUUUCUUGGGAUUUCAAGUGAAGCAACUCCAAGAGGGCACCUUCGUUAGCCAAACAAAGUACAUUCAAGAUAUUCUUACCAAGUUUGGGAUGAAGGAUGCCAAGCCCAUCAAGACACCCAUGGGAACUAAUGGGCAUCUCGACCUUGACACGGGAGGUAAAUCCGUAGAUCAAAAGGUAUACCGGUCGAUGAUAGGUUCUUUACUCUAUUUAUGUGCUUGACCGGACAUUAUGCUUUAUGUAUGCAUGUGUGCAAGAUUCCAAGCCGAUCCUAAGGAAGUACACCUUAGGGCCGUAAAACGAAUCUUGAGAUAUCUAGUUUAUACUCCUAUGUUUGGCCUUUGGUGCCCCAGGGGAUCCACAUUUGAUUUAAUUGGUUAUUCUGAUGCUGAUUGGGCAGGGUGUAAAAUUAAUAGAAAUAGCACAUCAGGGACUUGCCAGUUCUUGGGAAGAUAUCUAGUGUCUUGGGCUUCAAAGAAGGAAAAUUCUGUCGCUCUUUCUACCGCCGAAGCCGAGUAUAUUGCCAUAGGCCAUUGUUGCGCGCAAUUGCUUUGGAUGAGGCAAACCCUUAGGGACUAUGGUUACAAAUUAACCAAGGUUCCUCUUCUAUGUGAUAAUGACAGUGCAAUCCGUAUGGCGGAUAAUCCCGUUGAGCAUAGCCGCACUAAACACAUAGCCAUUCGGUAUCACUUUUUAAGGGACCACCAACAAAAAGGGGAUAUCGAGAUUGCGUAUGUUAACACCAAAGAACAAUUAGCCGAUAUCUUUACCAAGCCAUUAGAUGAGCAAACUUUUACCAAACUUAGGCAUAAGCUAAAUAUUCUUGAUUCUAGGAAUUUCCGUUGAUGUUUUGCACACAUAGUCAUUUAUAUACUUUUGAUCAUAUCUCUUUCAUUUGCUAUGACUAAUGUGGUUUUCAAGUGUAUUUCAAGCUAAGUCAUAGAUUGAAAGGGAAAUGGAGUCUUCGGCGAAGACAAGGCUUCCACUCCACUCCAUCAAAUUAUUCAUCCUUCGCCGUCACUCCACUCUCCAACUUUGGUAUAAUCUUCACUCAUACAUUAUUUACCAUAGGGGGAGAAAGUAGUUAAUAGGGCUCUAAUGACUCCAUUUUUGGCGAUUCAUGCCAAAGGGGGAGAGAGUAUUAGCCCAAAGCAAAAGGACCGCACCACCACCAAUUUCAAAAUUUUAGUCUUUUAAUUUGUUUCUAAAGUAGUGUUUUCAAAUUGGUAUCUUAUUAUUUAUAUAAUUUCAAAUUGGUAUACCCUCUUCAAAAUCUAUAUCUAAAACCCUCUUGAACACUAAGAGGAGGAUUUCAUUAAGGGGGAGUUUUGUUUAGUCAAAGGAAAAGCAUUUGAAACAGGGGGAGAAAAUUUCAAAUCUUGAAAAUGCUUCUCAAAAUCCUAUUCAUUUACCUUCGACUACUUUGCAAAAGACUUUGAAAAGAAUUUCCAAAACAUUUGCAAAACAAAACAUGUGGUGCAAGCGUGGUCAAAAAUUUUAAACAAGAAGAAAGCCAUCCAUGCAUAUCUAAUAGAAAUAAUUAUUGGUUUCAUUCCAAGUAACCUUUGCACUUACAUUAUGCAAACUAAUUCAAUUCUGCACUUUUAUAUUUGCUUUGGUUUGUGUUGGCAUCAAUCACCAAAAAGGGGGAGAUUGAAAGGGAAAUAGGCUUAUAUCUUUUCCUAAUUGAUUUUGGUGGUUGAAUUGCCCAACACAAAUAAUUGGACUAACUAGUUUGCUCUAGAUUUAAAGUUUUACAGGUGCCAAAGGUUCACAACAAACCAAUAAAAAGACCAAGAAAAGGGUUCAAACAAAGAGAGCAAAAGACAAUUGAAGUGUGCCCUGGUCUGGCGCACCGGACUGUCCGGUGCACCAGGGAACUCAACUCCGAACUGCUCACCUUCGGGAAAUUCUGGGAGCCGCUCCGCUAUGAUUCACCGGACUAUCCGGUGUAGCACCGGACUGUCCGGUGUGCCAGCGGAGUAGGGCUGCUACAUCGCCAACGGUCGUCUGCAACUGCAGUUAAUGCGCUACAGUGUGCGCAGAAGUCAGAGCAGAGCCAGAAGGCGCACCGGACAGUGAACAAUUAUUGUCCGGUGCACCACCGGACUGUCCGGUGGCCCAGAUGUCAGAAGCUCCAACGGUCAGAAUCCAACGGCCGGGUGACGUGGCUGGCGCACCGGACAGUGUCUGGUGGCGCACCAGACUGUCCGGUGCGCCAUGCGACAGAAGCCCUCACCAACGGUUCUUUUGGUGGUUGGGGCUAUAAAUACCCCGAACCACCCACCAUUCAUUGCAUCCAAGUUUUCAGCCUUCAAACACCUUACAAGAGCUAUAACAUUCAAUACAAGACACAAUCAAAGAGAUCAAAUCCUCUCCCAAGUCCAAAGAUCAUUUCAAUCAAAUAGUGACUCGUGAGAGAGACUUGUGUUCAUUUGAGCUCUUGCGCUUGGAUUGCUUUUCUUCUUCCUUCUUUCUUGUGCUCAACUCAAUUGUAACCAAGGCAAGAGACACCAAUUGUGUGGUGGUCCUUGUGGGGACUUAGUGUCCCAUUUGAUUGAGAAGAAAAGCUCACUCGGUCUAAGUGACCGUUUGAGAGAGGGAAAGGGUUGAAAGAGACCCGGUCUUUGUGACCACCUCAAUGGGGAUUAGGUUUGCAAGAACCGAACCCCGGUAAAACAAAUCACCGUGUCACACUCUUUAUUUGCUUGUGAUUUGUCUUCGUCCUCUCUUUCGGACUCGUUUAUAUUUCUAACGCUAACCCCGGCUUGUAGUUGUGCUUAAAGUUUGUAAAUUUCAGAUUCGCCCUAUUCACCCCCCUCUAGGCGACUUUCAGCCAUGUCGCACGACACUGCGCCACCUCCACCAGGACAGGGACCAGGCCUCGAUCCCAGACACCCCGCUUCUACAAGCUCGAUUUUCCAACUUACGAUGGCACAGUCGACCCGCUCAAUUGGAUCAACCAAUGUGAGCAGUUCUUCCAAGGCCAACGCACCCCGGCCUCGGAUCAAACCUGGUUGGCGUCGUACCAUCUCACUGGGGCUGCCCAGACGUGGUACUACGCCCUCAAGCAAGACGAAGGCAUGCCAGCCUAGGGUCGUUUCUGCGAGCUCUGCACCCUACGUUUCGGGCCGGCGGUGCGCGGCACGAGGCUGUCGGAGCUUGCCCGGUUACCGUUCAUCUCUACAGUGCACGACUACGCCGAGCGCUUCAACGCGGUGCUGUGCCAUGCACACAACCUCUCGGCAUCCCAGAAGGCGGAGCUCUUUGUGGGAGGACUGCCCGACCACAUACGGAUCGACGUCAAGCUCCACGAACCCCAGAACCUGCAAAUAGCCAUGCACUUGGCACGGGCGUUCAAACGCCGUGCGGCUAGUCCAAGGGUGCUUCCUCCAGUACGUGGCGGGAGGAACUCGUCGCGACCACCAUCGUCCGGUCCACCCCGACAACCGCAAGGGCUACCUUCGUCGGGCUCGGUGCCAUCAACGGGUUCCUCUACACCGUCACGAUAGUUCCACCGGCUAACACCAGCGGAAUAGAUGGAACGUCGACGACAAGGAUUGUGUUACAAUUGUGAUGAACCCUAUGUCCGUGGCCACGUCUGCCAACGUCUCUUCUACCUGGAGUCGACAGACUAUGUUGAUGACGCAUUCCCACCGGAGGAUCACGCCGGGGCUUUCAACCACGGCGAGGCCGGACAUCCCGCGACCCCAGGGGCGGACACCGCGCAGGACUCCGAUCCUCCACCGACGGUAUCCCUUCACGCUAUUGUAGGGGUCCAGACCGAGCAGGCCAUGCGCCUGCCGGUGAUCAUUCACGGCCAUCGAUUGGUGGCGCUUCUCGACUCAGGAUCGACGACCAACUUCAUCAACGUUGACAUAAUGCACCGCCUGAAAUUAGCCACUCAUCCUCACCCCACGCUUUGGGUGAUGGUGGCUAACGGGGAACACGUGCCGUGUCAGGGCGUGGCACAGAACGUGGAGAUCGCCAUCAACGCCGAAGCAUUCCGCGUCAACUGUUACAACAUCAACCUCGGUGAGUUUGAUCUCAUCCUUGGCGUAGAGUUCCUCAGUACACUAGGACCUAUAAUGUAGAAUUUCAAGGACAUGUGCAUGUCCUUCACACGGGCUUCCCGGUCCGUGCGGUGGACUGGCUUGAGCUCGCGCAGGGGCCAGGCAACCACACCGACCGCCUGCGCCAUACCGUCCACACCCGGCCAGCCGCUCAUGGACCGCCUGCUCCAGCAAUUUGAGGUGGUGUUCACCGAACCUGCAGGGCUGCCUCCACUCCAGCCAUAUGACCACCGCAUCCAUCUUCUUCCGGGCACUCCUCCAGUCGCGGUUCGCCCCUACAGAUAUCCCCAGCUCCAGAAGGACGAACUGGAACGCCAGUGUGCGGCCAUGCUAUCCCAAGACAUCAUUCGGCCAAGCACCUCGCCAUUCUCUGCUCCGGUGCUCUUGGUCCGGAAACAUGACAAUUCAUGGCGCUUCUGCAUCGACUUCCAAGCCCUCUACGCCAAGACAUCCAAGGAUAAGUUUCCCAUUCCCGUCGUUGAGGAAUUGCUCGAUGAACUGCAUGGAGCUCGCUACUUCACUAAGCUCGACCUCCGGUCGGGCUACCACCAGGUGCGAAUGCACCCAGAUGACAUCGCCAAGACUGCUUUUCGCACACACCAGGGUCACUAUGAAUUCUUGGUGAUGCCUUUUGGCCUCUCCAACGCCCCAGCGACCUUCCAGGCACUAAUGAAUGAUGUGCUACGGCCCUACCUCCGUAGGUUCUUCCUGGUAUUCUUUAACAAUAUACUAAUCAACGGUGCCACAUGGGUCGAACACUUGCAGCACUUGGGCGUGGUCCUCAAUGCCUUCCGAGCACACCAUCUACAUGUUAAGCGCUCCAAAUGUUCAUUUGGGGAAAAUUUGUGGCGUACCUUGGCCAUGUGAUCUCCGCGGAGGGGGUGGCCAUGGACACAGCUAAGGUGGUAGCCAUCUCCACAUGGCCGACGCCGAGCUCAGCCAGGGGCCUACGCGGCUUCCUGGGCCUUGCGGGCUACUACCGCAAAUUCAUCCGCGACUUCGGCACGAUUGCAGCACCACUCACGCAUGUCCUGCAUCGAGACGCGUUCACGUGGGAUGAGGCAAUAGCAGCAUUCCAAGCGCUCAAGACCGCCCUCACCUCCGGACCUGUGCUCCAAAUGCCGGACUUCGACAAGUGCUUCACAGUCGACUAUGAUGCCUCUGGUGUGGGGUUCGGCGCCGUACUUCACCAAGGCGUGGGACCUCUCGCUUUCUUCAGUAGACCCUUUACACCACGCCACAUGAAACUCGCCGCGUAUGAGCGCGAGUUGAUUGGGUUGGUUCAAGCAGUGCGCCAUUGGCGAGCGUAUCUUUGGGGUCGCUAUUUUCGGGUAUGUACGGACCACUACAGUCUCAAGUUUCUACUCGAUCAAUGACUGUCCACCGUGCCACAGCAUCAGUGGCUCAGCAAACUCUUCGGUUUCGACUUCGACGUGGAGUACCGCCUGGGCCACCUCAAUACAGUGGCGGACGCACUGUCUCGCCGUGAUGAUGCGUGUCCAUCUUUGGCACUAAGUUCGGAGGGGGCCGCCUCGGUCCAUGCCCUCUCCGGGCCUUCCUUUGCCCUACUGGAGGAGAUCCGGAACGCGAUCAGCAACACAGACGCCGCACAACAUCUUUUCCAGCGCCUACAUGAGGGCACCCUUGAAGCGCCUUGGCGUUUGGAGGAUGGCCUCUUCCUCCACGGAUCUCGCAUCUUCGUGCCCGACCAUGGGAACUUGCGCCACCAGGUGCUCGCCUUGGCGCACUCAACAGGCCAUGAGGGUGUUCAGAAAACACUCCACCGUCUUCGUGCCGAGUUCUACAUCCCCAGUGAUCGCGCCUUGGUCCAAGACUGGGUACGUGCAUGCAACACGUGCCAGAAGAACAAGACCGAGACUCUGCACCCAGCCGGCCUUCUACAACCGCUCGACAUGCCGUCCCAAAUAUGGGCCGACAUUUCGAUGGACUUCAUCGAGGGGCUUCCCAAGGUGGGCGGCAAGGCCAUCAUCCUCACGGUGAUCGAUCGAUUCUCCAAAUACACGCACUUUAUUGCGCUGGGGCAUCCUUACAUAGCGUCGUCCGUCGCUCGCGCCUUCUUCGACGACGUUGUCCGGUUACACGAGUUUCCCUCCUCCAUCGUCAGCGAUAGGGAUCCCGUGUUCACCGGCCAUGUGUGGCGCGAUCUCUUCAAGUUAGCCGGUGUCAAGCUACGCUUAAGCAUGGCUUUCCACCCUCAGACGGAUGGCCAAUCAGAGGUGGUCAACAAGGUGAUAGCCAUGUAUCUUCGCUAUGUGACAGGUGACCGACCGCGCGCUUGGGUGGCGUGGUUGCCGUGGGCGGAAUAUUGCUACAACACAUCCUUCCACAUAGCAUUGCGGGCAACCCCCCUUCGAGGUGGUCUACGGUCGACCCCCUCCGGCCAUCUUGCCUUACAAGCUAGGGACAACACGGACAGAGACAACGAAUGCUCUCCUUCGCAGCCACGAUGAGGUCCUGGCGGAAGUUCGUCAGCGUCUUGUUCAAACACAACAGUUCUCCAAGAAGUAUUAUGAUGCCACACAUCGGGAGAUGGAGUUCAAGACCGGUGAUUGGGUUUGGUCGUGAUUGCUACAUCGCACCACCAAGUCCUUGGAUCCUCAUGCCAAGGGCAAAUUGGGUCCGCGCUAUGCGGGACCUUUCCAGGUGCUGGAGCGUAUCGGCAGCGUGGCGUACCGUCUACAGCUGACGGCGGGUGCUCAUAUCCAUUAUGUCUUCCACGUCGGCCUCCUGAAAGCCCACAAAGGAGAUCCGCCUGCCAUGCCGACGCCACUACCCCCAAUCUAGGAUGGGCGACUACUGCCAGUACCAGUGACGGCCCUCAAAGCACAGCUACGCCGUGACGUCUGGUAUAUUCUUAUUCAGUGGCAAGGGAUGACGCGCGAGGAAGCAACAUGGGAGAUAUUGGCUGACUUCAAAGACCUCUACCCUAAAUUCCAGCUCGAGGACGAGCUGUUUUCGCAGGCAGGGAGAGAUGUUAUGACUGACAUGCAGUACAAAAGGAAGCAAAGGGCUAGAGGGCAUGCAGAAGGAGAAAGAGAUCAAGGCUGGGACAGCCAGUAGUAAUUCAGUAAUUCUAGGAUCUAUCUCCUUUUGAAAAUUUCCUUUUAUUUAGAGAUAAACUUCCUUUUAUUCGGAGAGAUUAGUUUCCUUUUAUGAAGACAUAAGUUGCCUUCUAUUGAGAGAGAGGCUAGCAUAAAUAGGAGAUGUAAGACAGGAGGAAGGAUCAUCAAAGAAUUACCUAGCCGUCUUCCCUGUGGGAAGCUGGAACCUGAGUUGGUCUGUUUCCCCACGCCGUGAACACGACGUCCCGUCGUCCCUCUCGCCCAGUCCCUCGCCAACCACCAGCAGUACACCGGUAUAGCCUGAGGGAGAUCCCUGGUAGGAAUAGAAAUCCUAUCAA
RNAcentral lists this long non-coding RNA (33418 nucleotides) under Zea mays. RNAcentral's name for it is "long non-coding RNA (ZMAY_LNC002556)". The record is from RNAcentral. Lineage: Eukaryota; Viridiplantae; Streptophyta; Magnoliopsida; Poales; Poaceae.